UACAGAGGGCGCAAACGUUGCUCGGAAUUACUGGGCGUAAAGGGUUCGUAGGUGGCCACUUAAGUCAGACGUGAAAUCCCUCAGCUUAACUGGGGAACUGCGUCUGAUACUGGAUGGCUUGAGUGCAGGAGAGGAAUGCGGAAUUCCAGGUGUAGCGGUGAAAUGCGUAGAUAUCUGGAGGAACACCGGUGGCGAAGGCGGCAUUCUGGACUGUAACUGACACUGAGGAACGAAAGCCAGGGGAGCAAACGGG
Molecule: ribosomal RNA, 253 nt
Filed under: uncultured bacterium
Lineage: Bacteria
Description: partial 16S ribosomal RNA
Rfam family: Bacterial small subunit ribosomal RNA
Source: RNAcentral